Molecule: ribosomal RNA, 475 nt
Filed under: uncultured organism
Description: partial 16S ribosomal RNA
Rfam family: Bacterial small subunit ribosomal RNA
Source: RNAcentral
ACGUACACUCCUACGGGAGGCAGCAGUGGGGAAUAUUGCACAAUGGGCGCAAGCCUGAUGCAGCCAUGCCGCGUGUAUGAAGAAGGCCUUCGGGUUGUAAAGUACUUUCAGCGGGGAGGAAGGCAAUACGGUUAAUAACCGUGUUGAUUGACGUUACCCGCAGAAGAAGCACCGGCUAACUCCGUGCCAGCAGCCGCGGUAAUACGGAGGGUGCAAGCGUUAAUCGGAAUUACUGGGCGUAAAGCGCACGCAGGCGGUCUGUCAAGUCGGAUGUGAAAUCCCCGGGCUCAACCUGGGAACUGCAUUCGAAACUGGCAGGCUUGAGUCUUGUAGAGGGGGGUAGAAUUCCAGGUGUAGCGGUGAAAUGCGUAGAGAUCUGGAGGAAUACCGGUGGCGAAGGCGGCCCCCUGGACAAAGACUGACGCUCAGGUGCGAAAGCGUGGGGAGCAAACAGGAUUAGAAACCCUUGUAGUCC